UACGGAGGGUGCGAGCGUUGUCCGGAAUCACUGGGCGUAAAGGGCGCGUAGGUGGCGCGGGCAGUCAACGGUGAAAGUUCGGGGCUCAACCCUGAAUCGGCCGUCGAUACUCCCGGGCUUGAGCACUGUAGAGGCAGAUGGAAUUCCGGGUGUAGCGGUGGAAUGCGUAGAGAUCCGGAAGAACACCGGUGGCGAAGGCGGCGCUCUGGACCGAGACUGACGCUGAGGCGCGAAAGCGUGGGGAGCAACAGGG
RNAcentral lists this ribosomal RNA (253 nucleotides) under uncultured bacterium. RNAcentral describes it as "partial 16S ribosomal RNA". It matches the Rfam family "Bacterial small subunit ribosomal RNA", at positions 524 to 776 of the family's 1533-position model. The record is from RNAcentral.